Molecule: ribosomal RNA, 254 nt
Filed under: uncultured bacterium
Lineage: Bacteria
Description: partial 16S ribosomal RNA
Rfam family: Bacterial small subunit ribosomal RNA
Source: RNAcentral
UACGGGGGGGGCAAGCGUUGUCCGGAUUUAUUGGGCGUAAAGGGCGCGUAGGUGGCCAACUAAGUCAGACGUGAAAUCCCCAGGCUUAACCUGGGAACUGCGUCUGAUACUGGAUGGCUUGAAUUCGGGAGAGGGAUGCAGAAUUCCAGGUGUAGCGGUGAAAUGCGUAGAUAUCUGGAGGAAUACCGGUGGCGAAGGCGGCAUCCUGGACCGAGAUUGACACUGAGUGAGCGAAAGCCAGGGGAGCAAACGGG